UACGGAUGACACGAAGCCUGAUCCGCAUGCCGCGUGAGUGAAGAAGCCUUCGGGUUGUAAAGCUCUUUUGUCAGGGAAGAAACGGUGGUCUCUAAUACAGAUUGCUAAUGACGGUACCUGAACAGUAAGCACCGGCUAACUACAUGCCAGCAGCCGCGAUAAUAG
Molecule: ribosomal RNA, 165 nt
Filed under: uncultured Herbaspirillum sp.
Lineage: Bacteria; Pseudomonadati; Pseudomonadota; Betaproteobacteria; Burkholderiales; Oxalobacteraceae
Description: partial 16S ribosomal RNA
Rfam family: Bacterial small subunit ribosomal RNA
Source: RNAcentral